UACGGAGGGUGCGAGCGUUAAUCGGAAUUACUGGGCGUAAAGCGCACGUAGGCGGUUGAGUAAGUCUGCCGUGAAAGCCCUGGGCUUAACCGAGGAAUGGCGGUGGCGAAUGCUGAGCUAGAGUGUGAGAGGGGGGGGUGGAAUUCCCGGUGUAGCGGUGAAAUGCGUAGAGAUCGGGAGGAACACCAGUGGCGAAGGCGGCCCCCUGGUUCAACACUUACGCUGAGGUGCGAAAGCGUGGGGAGCAAACAGG
Molecule: ribosomal RNA, 253 nt
Filed under: uncultured bacterium
Lineage: Bacteria
Description: partial 16S ribosomal RNA
Rfam family: Bacterial small subunit ribosomal RNA
Source: RNAcentral